UUUCCGUAGGUGAACCUGCGGAAGGAUCAUUAAUGAGUUGUCAUGGGGUUCGAUGCUGGCAGCCAAUCUUUGGAUGCAUGUGCUUGCCCUAACAAUCAUCUUCCAAACACCUGUGCACAUUUUUGAGGGAGUCUUGAGUUGGUUGCCGCUCUUGGGUGAUUUUCUCACAUUCCCUUAAAUCAUUAUACGCUAUUAACAAUGUUGAACGUGCUCUGUGCCGCAAGGCUAUUAAUAUAAUACAACUUUUAACAACGGAUCUCUUGGCUCUC
RNAcentral lists this unclassified non-coding RNA (269 nucleotides) under plant metagenome. RNAcentral's name for it is "partial contains small subunit ribosomal RNA, internal transcribed spacer 1, and 5.8S ribosomal RNA". The record is from RNAcentral.